Pelobates cultripes (western spadefoot toad) is the source of this 215-nucleotide non-coding RNA. Lineage: Eukaryota; Metazoa; Chordata; Amphibia; Anura; Pelobatidae. The record is from the annotation of a GenBank genome assembly.
GGAGGGAUGACUAGUGACAGAGGGAGGGGGUGACACAGUGAGAGUGAGGGAGAUGGUGACUAGUGACAGAGUGAGGGAGGUGGUGACUGUCACUAGUCCCCCCAUCCCUGCCUCUGUCACUAGUCACCCCUUCCUUCCCUCACUCUGCCACUAGUCACCCCCUCCCUCACUCUGUCACCAGUCACCCCCUCCCUCUGUCACUAGUCACCCCAUCC